This 596-nucleotide ribosomal RNA is filed under the name Talaromyces funiculosus. RNAcentral's name for it is "partial large subunit ribosomal RNA". It matches the Rfam family "Eukaryotic large subunit ribosomal RNA", at positions 46 to 657 of the family's 3401-position model. The record is from RNAcentral. Lineage: Eukaryota; Fungi; Ascomycota; Eurotiomycetes; Eurotiales; Trichocomaceae.
AUAAGCGGAGGAAAAGAAACCAACCGGGAUUGCCUCAGUAACGGCGAGUGAAGCGGCAAGAGCUCAAAUUUGAAAUCUGGCCCCUUUGGGGUCCGAGUUGUAAUUUGCAGAGGAUGCUUCGGGUGCGGUCCCCGUCUAAGUGCCCUGGAACGGGCCGUCAUAGAGGGUGAGAAUCCCGUCUGGGAUGGGCGGCCGCGCCCGUGUGAAGCUCCUUCGACGAGUCGAGUUGUUUGGGAAUGCAGCUCUAAGCGGGUGGUAAAUUUCAUCUAAAGCUAAAUACUGGCCGGAGACCGAUAGCGCACAAGUAGAGUGAUCGAAAGAUGAAAAGCACUUUGAAAAGAGAGUUAAACAGCACGUGAAAUUGUUGAAAGGGAAGCGUUGUCCACCAGACUCGCCCGGGGGGGUUCAGCCGGCACGUGUGCCGGUGUACUCCUCUCCGGGCGGGCCAGCAUCGGUUUGGGCGGCUGGUGAAAGGCCCCGGGAAUGUGCCACCCUUCGGGGUGCCUUAUAGCCCGGGGUGCCAUGCAGCCAGCCUGGACCGAGGCCCGCGCUUCGGCGAGGAUGCUGGCGUAAUGGUGGUCAACGGCCCGUCUUGA